Molecule: ribosomal RNA, 517 nt
Filed under: uncultured Glomus
Lineage: Eukaryota; Fungi; Glomeromycota; Glomeromycetes; Glomerales; Glomeraceae
Description: SSU rRNA
Rfam family: Eukaryotic small subunit ribosomal RNA
Source: RNAcentral
AGCAGCCGCGGUAAUUCCAGCUCCAAUAGCGUAUAUUAAAGUUGUUGCAGUUAAAAAGCUCGUAGUUGAAUUUCGGGAUCAAUAUGUUGGUCGUGCCUCGGUACGUACUAGCAUAUUGGUUUCUCCUUUCUGAAGAACCAUGAUGUCAUUUAUUUGGUGUCGUGGGGAAUCAGGACUGUUACUUUGAAAAAUUAGAGUGUUUAAAGCAGGCUCACGCUUGAAUACAUUAGCAUGGAAUAAUGAAAUAGGACGUUUGAUUCUAUUUUGUUGGUUUCUAGGAUCGACGUAAUGAUUAAUAGGGAUAGUUGGGGGCAUUAGUAUUCAAUUGUCAGAGGUGAAAUUCUUGGAUUUAUUGAAGACUAACUACUGCGAAAGCAUUUGCCAAGGAUGUUUUCAUUAAUCAAGAACGAAAGUUAGGGGAUCGAAGACGAUCAGAUACCGUCGUAGUCUUAACCAUAAACUAUGCCGACUAGGGAUCGGAUGAUGUUAAUUUUUAAUGACUCAUUCGGCGUACCCG